CCUACGGGAGGCAGCAGUGAGGAAUAUUGGUCAAUGGACGAGAGUCUGAACCAGCCAAGUAGCGUGAAGGAUGACUGCCCUAUGGGUUGUAAACUUCUUUUAUAAAGGAAUAAAACGAGGCACGUGUGCCUUUUUGCAUGUACUUUAUGAAUAAGGAUCGGCUAACUCCGUGCCAGCAGCCGCGGUAAUACGGAGGAUCCGAGCGUUAUCCGGAUUUAUUGGGUUUAAAGGGAGCGUAGAUGGGUUGUUAAGUCAGUUGUGAAAGUUUGCGGCUCAACCGUAAAAUUGCAAUUGAUACUGGCAGUCGUGAGUACAGUUGAGGUAGGCUGAAUUCGUGGUGUAGCGGUGAAAUGCUUAGAUAUCACGAAGAACCCCGAUUGCGAAGGCAGCUUACUAAACUGUGACUGACAUUGAUGCUCGAAAGUGUGGGUAUCAAACAGGAUUAGAUACCCUAGUAGUC
RNAcentral lists this ribosomal RNA (460 nucleotides) under uncultured bacterium. RNAcentral's name for it is "partial 16S ribosomal RNA". It matches the Rfam family "Bacterial small subunit ribosomal RNA", at positions 338 to 795 of the family's 1533-position model. The record is from RNAcentral.